GGUGGACGUAGCCAAGU
RNAcentral lists this transfer RNA (17 nucleotides) under Ophioglossum falcatum. Its description in RNAcentral is "partial tRNA-His". Lineage: Eukaryota; Viridiplantae; Streptophyta; Polypodiopsida; Ophioglossales; Ophioglossaceae. The record is from RNAcentral.